AUUGUUAACUAUGACGCCGUGCUGCAGUUGGGUGUUGCAUCGUUGAUGUCGACCACGAGAGAAAAUCAUACUGCAACAUACUCUGCUCCAUCUUAAAACAUGGUUGACUAUGGGUCGUGCUGCUGUUGGGUGUUGUAUCGUUGAUGGCUGGGGCGAUCACGGGGUACCGAUGUAUUUGAGUGUGGUGGUACCAAACCGCAACGCCGCCGCUUUACUACACAACGAAGUCAACAUACGGAACAUGUACUUCUCGAGGCCCCUAAAUACUACACCACCAAGGCUCUAACUACUACACCGAGGAUCUAACUUGUUACAUCACCGAAACGCCCAAAUACUGCACUACAACCUACGUUGCCCCAGCUUACACCACGAAGGGAGCCGAGUACUACACCACGAAGGGAGCCGAGUACUACACCACGAAGGGAGCCGAGUACUACACCACGAAGGGAGCCGAGUACUACACCACGAAGGGAGCCGAGUACUACACCACGAAGGGAGCCGAGUACUACACCACGAAGGGAGCCGAGUACUACACCACGAAGGGAGCCGAGUACUACACCACGAAGGGAGCCGAGUACUACACCACGAAGGGAGCCGAGUACUACACCACUACUUACGCUACUACCACUUACUACACCGAAGCACCUAAGUAUUACUCUGCCCCGAGUUAUUACAACACUAAGGCAGCCGCAACUUACUACAUGGAGCUUCCUUAAUGUCAGAGCCGACUAUUUGAGUUUAUUAUUAUUUGUCGGUGGUCUUCAUGAUCAUUGGUCACUGGGAGUUAAUUGUUGAUCUUAAAUGAGUAAAUAAAAAUAUUAAUGCGGGUAA
This is a long non-coding RNA of Daphnia pulex (common water flea), 831 nucleotides long. RefSeq lists it as uncharacterized. The transcript has 3 exons. NCBI's taxonomy places the organism in Eukaryota, Metazoa, Arthropoda, Branchiopoda, Diplostraca, Daphniidae. The record is from RefSeq and is a predicted model, not a curated record.